CCCCUCUCAGUGUCGCACCUGGAGAGUUUCCAAUACUCUACCAGUUUAGGCUAUGGGAGGGAGAAUCAAGCAGAGUCCUAUCCAUUUCAUUCCUAGUUUGGGAAGUGGCUAGCGAGUGGAAGGCAAUCUUCUACAAGU
Molecule: small nucleolar RNA, 138 nt
Organism: Tachyglossus aculeatus (Australian echidna)
Lineage: Eukaryota; Metazoa; Chordata; Mammalia; Monotremata; Tachyglossidae
Source: RefSeq, a predicted model, not a curated record